AACGUAGGACGCGAGCGUCAUCCGGAGUUACUGGGCGUAAAGCGCGGGCAGGCGGCCUGACAAGUCUGAUGUGAAAUCACCCGGCUCAACCGGGCGAGGCCAUUGGAAACUGACAGGCUGGAGGGCAGUAGAGGCAGGCGGAAUUCCGGGAGGAGUGGUGAAAUGCGUAGAGAUCCGGAGGAACACCAGAGGCGAAAGCGGCCUGCUGGGCUGCACCUGACGCUGAGCCGCGAAAGCCAGGGGAGCGAACGGG
RNAcentral lists this ribosomal RNA (253 nucleotides) under uncultured bacterium. RNAcentral's name for it is "partial 16S ribosomal RNA". It matches the Rfam family "Bacterial small subunit ribosomal RNA", at positions 524 to 776 of the family's 1533-position model. The record is from RNAcentral.